Sander lucioperca (pikeperch) is the source of this 487-nucleotide long non-coding RNA. RefSeq lists it as uncharacterized. NCBI's taxonomy places the organism in Eukaryota, Metazoa, Chordata, Actinopteri, Perciformes, Percidae. The transcript has 2 exons. The record is from RefSeq and is a predicted model, not a curated record.
UCAAAUCUGCGUUGAACUAGGUGAAGAUUUCUCAUUUCCCAGUAGACCAAAUCAGAUUAUACGGACAAAUCAGGUUCUUUCACAAAACAGAUUAACAUAGAGUAAUUAAGUCUGGCAUUUCACACGUAGCACUUUAAUCUCUCCAGCAAUAGUACAUCCCAGAGCAUAGGUUAACAAAUGCUAAUGUAUUGGUUUAUUUUAAUCUGUUAAUUCUGUUUUUCUUAAUUCUCCUUCUUGCUCAUAUACCUGGCUCGCAGAUUUGAUAAGAACUCCAUGUCGGACAAGGACUGCACAUCAAGAAGAGGAUGGAUCCUGAAACUAAAGAAAUCUAAAGAACAUCAACAGCUUUACGCAGGAGCCACGGAGGAGACCUCUGUCUUUGAUGUGGAUACCUCAGAGCCAUCAUCCACUUGUUUGCCAAAGAGUUGCAUGAUACAUGAACGGAACUGAUAAGGAAAAAAUAAAACAGUAUGUUACAAAUUUAAAC